UCGGGCGCGGUUCGAAACCAUCCCGCGUUAUCAAAACUAAGGAGGA
RNAcentral lists this small RNA (46 nucleotides) under [Clostridium] ultunense Esp. RNAcentral describes it as "PreQ1". The record is from RNAcentral. Lineage: Bacteria; Bacillati; Bacillota; Tissierellia; Tissierellales; Tepidimicrobiaceae.